UGAGGAAUUUUGCGCAAUGGGAGCAAUCCUGACGCAGCAACGCCGCGUGGGUGAUGAAGGCCUUCGGGUCGUAAAGCCCUGUCAGGUGGGAAGAAUGUCCCGGGACUGAACAGGUUCCGGGAGUGACGGUACCACCAGAGGAAGCACCGGCUGACUCCGUGCCAGCAGCCGCGGUAAUACGGAGGGUGCAAGCGUUAUUCGGAAUUACUGGGCGUAAAGCGCGUGUAGGCGGUCCUGCAAGUCUGAGGUGAAAGCCCCGGGCUUAACCCGGGAAGUGCAUUGGGAACUGUGGGACUUGAGUACGGGAGAGGAGGGGGGAAUUCCCGGUGUAGAGGUGAAAUUCGUAGAGAUCGGGAGGAAUAUCAGUGGCGAAGGCGCCCAUCUGGACGGUAACUGACGCUGAGACGCGAAAGCGUGGGGAGCAAACA
RNAcentral lists this ribosomal RNA (428 nucleotides) under uncultured prokaryote. Its description in RNAcentral is "bacterial SSU rRNA". It matches the Rfam family "Bacterial small subunit ribosomal RNA", at positions 355 to 774 of the family's 1533-position model. The record is from RNAcentral.